GAUGAACGCUGACAGAAUGCUUAACACAUGCAAGUCUACUUGAAACACUUUCGGUGUGGAUGGUGGCGGACGGGUGAGUAACGCGUAAAGAACUUGCCCCUUAGCCUGGGACAACUGUUGGAAACGACAGCUAAUACCGGAUAUUAUGAGACUCUGGCAUCAGAGACUUAUGAAAGCUAUAUGCGCUAAGGGAGAGCUUUGCGUCCUAUUAGCUAGUUGGUGAGGUAAUGGCUCACCAAGGCGACGAUAGGUAGCCGGCCUGAGAGGGUGAACGGCCACAAGGGGACGUGAGACACGGCCCUUACUCCUACGGGAGGCAGCAGUGGGGAAUAUUGGACAAUGGACCAAAAAGUACUGAUCCAGCAAUUCUGUGUGCUUG
RNAcentral lists this ribosomal RNA (379 nucleotides) under uncultured bacterium. RNAcentral describes it as "bacterial SSU rRNA". It matches the Rfam family "Bacterial small subunit ribosomal RNA", at positions 28 to 407 of the family's 1533-position model. The record is from RNAcentral.